Molecule: ribosomal RNA, 497 nt
Filed under: uncultured bacterium
Lineage: Bacteria
Description: partial 16S ribosomal RNA
Rfam family: Bacterial small subunit ribosomal RNA
Source: RNAcentral
GGGGGGGGGGGGGGGGGUGGCUGGGGGGUGGGGGUCGGGCGGACGGACGAGAAGCGUGCUUCUCUGAUGGUAGCGGCGGACGGGUGAGUAACACGUGGAUAACCUACCUAUAAGACUGGGAUAACUUCGGGAAACCGGAGCUAAUACCGGAUAAUAUUUUGAACCGCAUGGUUCAAAAGUGAAAGACGGUCUUGCUGUCACUUAUAGAUGGAUCCGCGCUGCAUUAGCUAGUUGGUAAGGUAACGGCUUACCAAGGCAACGAUGCAUAGCCGACCUGAGAGGGUGAUCGGCCACACUGGAACUGAGACACGGUCCAGACUCCUACGGGAGGCAGCAGUAGGGAAUCUUCCGCAAUGGGCGAAAGCCUGACGGAGCAACGCCGCGUGAGUGAUGAAGGUCUUCGGAUCGUAAAACUCUGUUAUUAGGGAAGAACAUAUGUGUAAGUAACUGUGCACAUCUUGACGGUACCUAAUCAGAAAGCCACGGCUAACUACGUG